GACCGGACCAUGAAUGAUCUGGAGGACAGCUAUGGACAGGAGUGGACCUAUGAACAGCGGAAGGUGGUGGAGUUCACGUGCCACACAGCAUUCUUUGCCAGCAUCGUGGUGGUGCAAUGGGCUGACCUCAUCAUCUGCAAGACCCGCCGCAACUCAGUCUUCCAGCAAGGCAUGAAGAACAAGAUCCUGAUUUUUGGGCUCCUGGAGGAGACGGCGUUGGCUGCCUUUCUCUCUUACUGCCCAGGCAUGGGUGUAGCCCUCCGCAUGUACCCGCUCAAAGUCACCUGGUGGUUCUGCGCCUUCCCCUACAGCCUCCUUAUCUUCAUCUAUGAUGAGGUCCGAAAGCUCAUCCUGCGGCGGUAUCCUGGUGGUAAGCCCCUCCACAUCCCCCCCAGCAAAGUGCAAGCCCCACCACCAGCUUCUCCCUCCAGGACCCACGCAGA
RNAcentral lists this small RNA (443 nucleotides) under Pongo abelii (Sumatran orangutan). RNAcentral's name for it is "retained intron". Lineage: Eukaryota; Metazoa; Chordata; Mammalia; Primates; Hominidae. The record is from RNAcentral.